UCUUCUUCUUCUUCUUCUUCAUCCUUUUUAUUUUGGGGGCGGGGGGUGGUGGUGAUGUGGAGAUUUCUUUUCUUGUGAUUUGAGAUUCUUAGUAUUAAGUUUAUAGUUUGCUCCUUGCAAUUUUUCCCUUCGUGGUUGAUUACAAUUGUUUGUUUCUAACAGUGGGCAUACUCUCAUUGGACCAAAUUCCGGUGCUUUUUAGAUUUUUUUUUUUGAAAAAAUUUUGUCCCUCUCUGUUGCUUCUGACCUGCACUUUUUAUGCAUGAAUAGAAUCUUGCUGCCACGAUGGUUUUGACAGUAUUGUACUCUCAUUUAAGGAUCUUUUAGUCUUGUUAAAACCUUUUGAAGAAAUCAGUUACUUCUGUUAUGCACUUUCCUUGAAUGAUAUAGAAUCUUGUUGAUAACAGUAUUCUGUUAUUUGUAGUCCCCUUUCUUCUUGUUCUUCCCCCGUUUUUGCUAUGAUGGUAUCUUGCUUUCCUUUGUGUUAAUUGCUGGUGUUUGAUUUUAUUACAUUACGAUAAGUUCUUCCUUCCUCCAUUGCAUAUAUCAAUUAUUGGUAGUUCUCAUGAACUUUUGCCACUGCUUCUGUUACUUUAACUGGAUAAUGGACUUACCGGAUUUUCAGUUGCUUUCAUAGAUAGGACAAGGUACAUAUAGCAGUGUGUUUCGAGCACACGAGCUUGAAACUGGGAGGAUUGUUGCUCUAAAGAAGGUUCGCUUUGAUAAUUUUGAGCCUGAGAGUGUCCGGUUCAUGGCAAGAGAGAUACUGAUUCUCCGCAGGCUCAACCAUCCCAACGUCAUGAAAUUGGAUGGAUUAAUUACUUCCCGUUUAUCAUGUAGCAUUUACCUGGUAUUUGAGUACAUGGAG
Molecule: unclassified non-coding RNA, 868 nt
Filed under: Hevea brasiliensis (rubber tree)
Lineage: Eukaryota; Viridiplantae; Streptophyta; Magnoliopsida; Malpighiales; Euphorbiaceae
Source: RNAcentral